GGGGGCGAUGGGAAUUGUAGUCCGACAACAGCUGGCCGCCCCUGGGCUAGGAUCCGUGUGCAGAGCAGCGCCUUGCGGCGGAGCGGGCUGAAAAUGCGGAGCGAAGCCACCACAUGUUCAGCCUUUGAAAAAAGUCAAUCAAAAAAAGUUAGUUCCAGUUAACUCCCAUGGCAAUGGCACAUGCAAACUAAUCCUAGCAAGUUUACUCAGAAGGAAGUCCUGAUGUAUUCGCCAUGAUCAGACUUACCCUCAGUGGACCUGUUGAAAACCCGCUGUACACAGAGACCUCCACCCUAUUCUCCCAUUACAAAAAUGGCAUGCAAGAAUAAAUCUCAUUCGAAGAGCCAAAAGGGGGGGGGGAAUCCUACUGAAGGUUAUUGGAGUCUGGAGCAAACUGAAAUGCAGAUAUCAGUGUCAAGGUGCAUGACAGAGUAACAGACAAAGCAAUAGAUUCCUGCCCUGAGGAACUUACAUUUCAGAUUCAUCACAGGGUGAAACAACAGAAGAAGUGGAAAGAUGGAGUUGAAGCAUCUCCAGCCCAAGGGAAGACUGAAUCUGUUGAAUUUCUGCCUGGCUACUCUUCAAGGCACAAAAGCCUGGAUGAAAAAAAGAAGACCCCAGCUCAGCAUGGGGGCCCCCCAAAUGCUGUGGCCCCCUGGCAGAGUACUUGCAGUAUGCUUAAACCAGCCCUGUUAAAAGCAGAGCAGUCUGCAAAAGAUAUCUGCGGAAGACUGAUACAUUGCAAUGCACGAGUUUGUAAAGAGCAGCAAAUGUCUGCAGCUGCAGCGAGAUCUGCCACAGCAAGAUGCGAAAAACCUACAAAAUCACCAGAUCUUUCUUGCCUCGCCAGUAUGAGAGGCGGUAGCGGGCACCAGCUCGAUCCUUUGCGUGUUACCUGGAAGGAUUUCUUUAAUAGCAUACACCGCCUCAGGUGCCUCGGGAGAAAAAAGGCGACUGACACAUUUUAUAUGUAAUCACAUCCUUGAAAGGAAAGCCCGAAAUCUAUCUUGGCCCUAUCAGCAAGCGACUUCUUAAACGUGUCCAGACGGAUCCAGUGCAGGUUUACUUGGAAGUAAGUCGCACUGAGUCCAACAAGAGUUACUGGCGAGUAAAUGAGGGUGCACAAGGUUGCAGCCGGAUAGCCUGAUUCUGUACAUAUUUACUCAGAAGUUAGUCUUACUGAGUUCAACGGGGCUUACUCACAGGUAAGUGUGAAUAUGAUUUCAGCAUUAAAAUGGUUUCCUAGCUUAGUGAUUAGUGAAAGUGGGUUCAACAAUUCGGCUUUACCUACAGGAGAGCUAAAACGUUCUGAAUUUUUUUUUACUGCCAAUGUGGUCGUAAG
Long non-coding RNA from Hemicordylus capensis (graceful crag lizard), 1342 nucleotides. RefSeq lists it as uncharacterized. The record is from RefSeq and is a predicted model, not a curated record. The transcript is spliced from 9 exons. Lineage: Eukaryota; Metazoa; Chordata; Lepidosauria; Squamata; Cordylidae.